UAGGGGGUAGUGUAGUGGAAGCACCAAGAGUUUUGAUCUCUUUAGGUGGGGUUCGAGUCCCCUCUCUCUAA
RNAcentral lists this transfer RNA (71 nucleotides) under Diodon holocanthus (long-spine porcupinefish). Its description in RNAcentral is "tRNA-Gln". It matches the Rfam family "tRNA". From Rfam's summary of the family: Transfer RNA (tRNA) molecules are approximately 80 nucleotides in length. Lineage: Eukaryota; Metazoa; Chordata; Actinopteri; Tetraodontiformes; Diodontidae. The record is from RNAcentral. RNAcentral also lists the same sequence under 1 other name.